This 284-nucleotide ribosomal RNA is filed under the name Salmonella enterica subsp. enterica serovar Agona. RNAcentral's name for it is "partial 16S ribosomal RNA". It matches the Rfam family "Bacterial small subunit ribosomal RNA", at positions 1 to 283 of the family's 1533-position model. The record is from RNAcentral. Lineage: Bacteria; Pseudomonadati; Pseudomonadota; Gammaproteobacteria; Enterobacterales; Enterobacteriaceae.
AAAUUGAAGAGUUUGAUCAUGGCUCAGAUUGAACGCUGGCGGCAGGCCUAACACAUGCAAGUCGAACGGUAGCACAGAGAGCUUGCUCUCGGGUGACGAGUGGCGGACGGGUGAGUAAUGUCUGGGAAACUGCCUGAUGGAGGGGGAUAACUACUGGAAACGGUGGCUAAUACCGCAUAACGUCGCAAGACCAAAGAGGGGGACCUUCGGGCCUCUUGCCAUCAGAUGUGCCCAGAUGGGAUUAGCUGGUUGGUGAGGUAACGGCUCACCAAGGCGACGAUCCC